Molecule: non-coding RNA, 136 nt
Organism: Brachypodium distachyon (stiff brome)
Lineage: Eukaryota; Viridiplantae; Streptophyta; Magnoliopsida; Poales; Poaceae
Source: Rfam
CUUGUACUCCCUCCGUCCAACAAAAGAUGUCUUAACUUUGACUAAAUUUGAAUGCAUCAAUACACUAAGUCAUGUCUAGAUACAUUCAAAUUUGAACAAACUUGAAACAUCUUUUGUUAGACGGAGAGAGUAUUAA